UAAUUCAACUCCUUUGUAGCUGUCCAUGUGCCUUCAUUCUUCAAUUUCUGAUGCAUUUGCCUUGUAUUCCAUCCUUUUUCCACAUGUACUAGCUGUUAGACAACUUUCACACACAUAUUUUGCAUCAUUUCAUCUUGCAAACAUCAACUUUCGGCCGCUUUACACCUCUACACACAUGCUAUGCAUCAUUUCAGCUUACAAUUAUGUUUGUAGUUGCUGAAAAUGUGAAUACAACCUGUAAAGCAAUCCAACAAAUGGCAUCUUUCA
This 267-nucleotide long non-coding RNA is filed under the name Malus domestica (apple). RNAcentral describes it as "long non-coding RNA (MDOM_LNC003030)". The record is from RNAcentral. Lineage: Eukaryota; Viridiplantae; Streptophyta; Magnoliopsida; Rosales; Rosaceae.